GUCGGGAGGAAGGCGGUGAAGUUACUAUCAUUAUCCAUUGACGUUACCGACAGAAGAAGCACCGGCUAACUCCGUGCCAGCAGCCGCGGUAAUACGGAGGGUGCCAGCGUUAAUUGGAAUUACUGGGCGUAAAGCGCACGCAGGCGGUUGAUUAAGUUAGAUGUGAAAUCCCCGGGCUUAACCUGGGAAUUGCAUUUAAAACUGGUUAGCUAGAGUCUUGUAGAGGGGGGUAGAAUUCCAUGUGUAGCGGUGAAAUGCGUAGAGAUGUGGAGGAAUACCGGUGGCGAAGGCGGCCCCCUGGACAAAGACUGACGCUCAGGUGCGAAAGCGUGGGGAGCAAACAGGAUUAGAUACCCUGGUAGUCCACGCUGUAAACGAUGUCGAUUUGAAGGUUGUUGCCUUGAAGAGUGGCUUUUGGAGCUAACGCGUUAAAUCGACCGCCUGGGGAGUACGGCCGCAAGGUUAAAACUCAAAUGAAUUGACGGGGGCCCGCACAAGCGGUGGAGCAUGUUGUUUAAUUUGAUGCAACGCGAAGAACCUUACCUACUCUUGACAUCCAGAGAAUCCUGCAGAGAUGCUUUGGUGCCUUCGGGAACUUUGAGACAGGUGCUGC
Molecule: ribosomal RNA, 613 nt
Filed under: Providencia stuartii
Lineage: Bacteria; Pseudomonadati; Pseudomonadota; Gammaproteobacteria; Enterobacterales; Morganellaceae
Description: bacterial SSU rRNA
Rfam family: Bacterial small subunit ribosomal RNA
Source: RNAcentral